UGGAUUAGUGGCGAACGGGUGAGUAACACGUGAGUAACCUGCCCUUAACUCUGGGAUAAGCCUGGGAAACUGGGUCUAAUACCGGAUAUGACUCCUCAUCGCAUGGUGGGGGGUGGAAAGCUUUUUGUGGUUUUGGAUGGACUCGCGGCCUAUCAGCUUGUUGGUGAGGUAAUGGCUCACCAAGGCGACGACGGGUAGCCGGCCUGAGAGGGUGACCGGCCACACUGGGACUGAGACACGGCCCAGACUCCUACGGGAGGCAGCAGUGGGGAAUAUUGCACAAUGGGCGCAAGCCUGAUGCAGCGACGCCGCGUGAGGGAUGACGGCCUUCGGGUUGUAAACCUCUUUCAGUAGGGAAGAAGCGAAAGUGACGGUACCUGCAGAAGAAGCGCCGGCUAACUACGUGCCAGCAGCCGCGGUAAUACGUAGGGCGCAAGCGUUAUCCGGAAUUAUUGGGCGUAAAGAGCUCGUAGGCGGUUUGUCGCGUCUGCCGUGAAAGUCCGGGGCUCAACUCCGGAUCUGCGGUGGGUACGGGCAGACUAGAGUGAUGUAGGGGAGACUGGAAUUCCUGGUGUAGCGGUGAAAUGCGCAGAUAUCAGGAGGAACACCGAUGGCGAAGGCAGGUCUCUGGGCAUUAACUGACGCUGAGGAGCGAAAGCAUGGGGAGCGAACAGGAUUAGAUACCCUGGUAGUCCAUGCCGUAAACGUUGGGCACUAGGUGUGGGGGACAUUCCACGUUUUCCGCGCCGUAGCUAACGCAUUAAGUGCCCCGCCUGGGGAGUACGGCCGCAAGGCUAAACUCAAAGGAAUUGACGGGGGCCCGCACAAGCGGCGGAGCAUGCGGAUUAAUUCGAUGCACGCG
RNAcentral lists this ribosomal RNA (862 nucleotides) under Arthrobacter sp. RNAcentral's name for it is "bacterial SSU rRNA". It matches the Rfam family "Bacterial small subunit ribosomal RNA", at positions 88 to 963 of the family's 1533-position model. Lineage: Bacteria; Bacillati; Actinomycetota; Actinomycetes; Micrococcales; Micrococcaceae. The record is from RNAcentral.